UUGGUGAGGUAACUGCUCUCCAAGGCGACGAUCAGUAGCCGGCUUGAGAGAGUGACCGGCCACAUUGGGACUGAGACACGGCCCAAACUCCUACGGGAGGCAGCAGUGGGGAAUAUUGCACAAUGGGGGAAACCCUGAUGCAGCGACGCCGCGUGAGUGAAGAAGUAUUUCGGUAUGUAAAGCUCUAUCAGCAGGGAAGAAAAUGACGGUACCUGACUAAGAAGCCCCGGCUAACUACGUGCCAGCAGCCGCGGUAAUACGUAGGGGGCAAGCGUUAUCCGGAUUUACUGGGUGUAAAGGGAGCGUAGGUGGCAUGUCAAGUCAGAUGUGAAAGCCCGGGGCUCAACCCCGGGAUUGCAUUUGAAACUGCUAUGCUAGAGUGCAGGAGAGGUAAGUGGAAUUCCUAGUGUAGCGGUGAAAUGCGUAGAUAUUAGGAGGAACACCAGUGGCGAAGGCGGCUUACUGGACUGUAACUGACACUGAGGCUCGAAAGCGUGGGGAGCAAACAGGAUUAGAUACCCUGGUAGUCCACGCCGUAAAUGAUGAAUACUAGGUGUUGGGGAGCAAAAGCUCUUCGGU
RNAcentral lists this ribosomal RNA (579 nucleotides) under uncultured bacterium. RNAcentral describes it as "bacterial SSU rRNA". It matches the Rfam family "Bacterial small subunit ribosomal RNA", at positions 249 to 844 of the family's 1533-position model. The record is from RNAcentral.